GAUGAACGCUGGCGGCGUGCCUAAUACAUGCAAGUCGAGCGAACGGACGAGAAGCUUGCUUCUCUGAUGUUAGCGGCGGACGGGUGAGUAACACGUGGAUAACCUACCUAUAAGACUGGGAUAACUUCGGGAAACCGGAGCUAAUACCGGAUGAUAUUUUGAACCGCAUGGUUCAAAAGUGAAAGACGGUCUUGCUGUCACUUAUAGAUGGAUCCGCGCUGCAUUAGCUAGUUGGUAAGGUAGCGGCUUACCAAGGCAACGAUGCAUAGCCGACCUGAGAGGGUGAUCGGCCACACUGGAACUGAGACACGGUCCAGACUCCUACGGGAGGCAGCAGUAGGGAAUCUUCCGCAAUGGGCGAAAGCCUGACGGAGCAACGCCGCGUGAGUGAUGAAGGUCUUCGGAUCGUAAAACUCUGUUAUUAGGGAAGAACAUAUGUGUAAGUAACUGUGCACAUCUUGACGGCACCUAAUCAGAAAGCCACGGCUAACUACGUG
Molecule: ribosomal RNA, 497 nt
Filed under: uncultured bacterium
Lineage: Bacteria
Description: partial 16S ribosomal RNA
Rfam family: Bacterial small subunit ribosomal RNA
Source: RNAcentral